GUAGGUGAACCUGCGGAAGGAUCAUUAUUGAAUCCUUAGGAUGUCGCUGGUCUUUGCAAAAAGACAUGUGCACUCCGCCUUUCAAUCCACCUGUGCACUUGAUGUAAGCUUGUGAAGGGGAAACCCUAAUCAACUUACGUAUUUUUACACACACUAUUAAAAGUAACAGAAUGUAACUUAGUAGACCUUUGAUGGUCGAAAACCUAAAUACAACUUUCAACAACGGAUCUCUUGGUUCUC
This 240-nucleotide unclassified non-coding RNA is filed under the name rhizosphere metagenome. RNAcentral's name for it is "partial ribosomal RNA internal transcribed spacer region". The record is from RNAcentral.